RNAcentral lists this unclassified non-coding RNA (689 nucleotides) under Hevea brasiliensis (rubber tree). Lineage: Eukaryota; Viridiplantae; Streptophyta; Magnoliopsida; Malpighiales; Euphorbiaceae. The record is from RNAcentral.
AUAGAGGUCUGGGAGCGUGGUUGGAAUACUGAAUCUCUGCAGCAUUUUCAAAAUUUGGGUACUCUAGAUUGGUUGCGGAAGUGUAGUGAUUUUGAAGGUCAAGUUUUCGGUAAUUCUUCUCCCCUGCAGCCCAUAUGAAUUUCCUUAUGGUGGAUAUACGUUGGAGGAAUGACUUUAUUUUUAAUGGGAGACGUGUUCCUAUUGUUGUCAAGCUACACAUUCUUCGUUAGCAACUAAUGUCUAAUGCUACAGCUCGGUAGAAGUGUAGUUUGGGAUCUAAUACUAUUGCUAGGAGUGUAAUUUUUGUUGCUUGGAGCCCUUCAAUGGUCGGGUGGCGGAAGCUAAAUUUGGUUGGGGACUCCAAAGGUAAUCCUGGUCAAUGUGGAGGAGGACGUGUUUUAAAGGAUCAUCUUGGUAUUUGGAAAGCUAGUUUCAAAGUUAGAUUGGGCAUCCGUAAUUCUGUGGAGGCUGCACUUCAGGCUUUGAUUCAUGGUCUUCGUAUAGCCUAGGAUUUAUGUUGCAAAAUAUUAGUGGUGGAGAUGGGCAGCAAAUUUCUAUGGAUUUGAUUACUGAUAAGGGAUUGAUGAACCUGAGAUAUGCCAAUCUUCUCUCAUAGUGUCAUCACCUUUUGGAACGCUCCUGGGUAGUGCAGGUUCUACAUUGUUUUCGUGAAGGCAACCAAGUAGCAG